Molecule: ribosomal RNA, 253 nt
Filed under: uncultured bacterium
Lineage: Bacteria
Description: partial 16S ribosomal RNA
Rfam family: Bacterial small subunit ribosomal RNA
Source: RNAcentral
GACGAACCGUCCUAACGUUGUUCGGAAUCACUGGGCUUAAAGGGCGCGUAGGCGGCCUUGCAAGUCGGGGGUGAAAUCCCACGGCCUAACCGUGGAAGUGCCUCCGAUACUGCAAGGCUCGAGGGAGGUAGGGGCAGCUGGAACUUCCGGUGGAGCGGUGAAAUGCGUUGAUAUCGGAAGGAACGCCGGUGGCGAAAGCGAGCUGCUGGACCUCUGCUGACGCUGAGGCGCGAAAGCCAGGGGAGCAAACGGG